RNAcentral lists this ribosomal RNA (253 nucleotides) under uncultured bacterium. RNAcentral describes it as "partial 16S ribosomal RNA". It matches the Rfam family "Bacterial small subunit ribosomal RNA", at positions 524 to 776 of the family's 1533-position model. The record is from RNAcentral.
UACGUAGGGUGCAAGCGUUGUUCGGAAUCACUGGGCGUAAAGCGCGUGUAGGCGGCCUUCUAAGUCUGGUGUGAAAGCCCGGGGCUUACCCCCGGAAGUGCACUGGAUACUGGAAGACUAGAGUACCGGAGAGGAGGGUGGAAUUCCUGGUGUAGCGGUGAAAUGCGUAGAUAUCAGGAAGAACACCGGUGGCGAAGGCGGCCCUCUGGACGGAUACUGACGCUGAGACGCGAAAGCGUGGGGAGCAAACAGG